GUGCUCACUUUGGCAGCACAUAUACUAAAGUGGGAACAACACAGAGAAGAUUUGCAUGGUCUCGUUGUGAAUGCAAAUUCACAAAGCGUUCCAUAUUUGG
Molecule: small nuclear RNA, 100 nt
Organism: Bison bison bison
Lineage: Eukaryota; Metazoa; Chordata; Mammalia; Artiodactyla; Bovidae
Source: Ensembl